RNAcentral lists this microRNA precursor (97 nucleotides) under Pteropus alecto (black flying fox). RNAcentral describes it as "mir-544 microRNA precursor family". It matches the Rfam family "mir-544 microRNA precursor family". RNAcentral also lists the same sequence under 1 other name. The record is from Rfam by way of RNAcentral. Lineage: Eukaryota; Metazoa; Chordata; Mammalia; Chiroptera; Pteropodidae.
AUCACCUGGGGUCUUGUUAACAUACAGGUUCUGAUUCAGCUGGUCUAGGGUGGGGUCCAAGAUUCUGCAUGUCUAAUAAGUUCCCAGGUGAUGCUGA